UACGGAGGGGACUAGCGUUGUUCGGAAUUACUGGGCGUAAAGCGCGCGUAGGCGGAUUUGCAAGUCGGGGGUGAAAGCCCGAGGCUCAACCUCGGAACUGCCUUCGAUACUGCAAAUCUCGAGUCUGAGAGAGGUGAGUGGAAUUCCUAGUGUAGAGGUGAAAUUCGUAGAUAUUAGGAAGACCACCAGUGGCGAAGGCGGCUUGCCAGAACGCGCUCGACGGUGAGGGAUGAAAGCUGGGGGAGCAAACCGG
RNAcentral lists this ribosomal RNA (253 nucleotides) under uncultured bacterium. RNAcentral's name for it is "partial 16S ribosomal RNA". It matches the Rfam family "Bacterial small subunit ribosomal RNA", at positions 524 to 776 of the family's 1533-position model. The record is from RNAcentral.